RNAcentral lists this ribosomal RNA (361 nucleotides) under uncultured Herminiimonas sp. RNAcentral describes it as "bacterial SSU rRNA". It matches the Rfam family "Bacterial small subunit ribosomal RNA", at positions 1014 to 1382 of the family's 1533-position model. Lineage: Bacteria; Pseudomonadati; Pseudomonadota; Betaproteobacteria; Burkholderiales; Oxalobacteraceae. The record is from RNAcentral.
GCUCGAAAGAGAGCCGUAACACAGGUGCUGCAUGGCUGUCGUCAGCUCGUGUCGUGAGAUGUUGGGUUAAGUCCCGCAACGAGCGCAACCCUUGUCAUUAGUUGCUACGAAAGGGCACUCUAAUGAGACUGCCGGUGACAAACCGGAGGAAGGUGGGGAUGACGUCAAGUCCUCAUGGCCCUUAUGGUAGGGCUUCACACGUCAUACAAUGGUACAUACAGAGGGCUGCCAACCCGCGAGGGGGAGCUAAUCCCAGAAAGUGUAUCGUAGUCCGGAUUGAAGUCUGCAACUCGACUUCAUGAAGUUGGAAUCGCUAGUAAUCGCGGAUCAGCAUGUCGCGGUGAAUACGUUCCCGGGUCUU